This 253-nucleotide long non-coding RNA is filed under the name Selaginella moellendorffii. RNAcentral describes it as "long non-coding RNA (SMOE_LNC002430)". Lineage: Eukaryota; Viridiplantae; Streptophyta; Lycopodiopsida; Selaginellales; Selaginellaceae. The record is from RNAcentral.
CAGAGGACUGCUCCUCUUCCUUUCCACAGUUUGGGCCUUUGGGGACAACAUUUCGGAACACCGUGGCCUUACGCGAGCCACCUGGGUACUCUCCCCGCCUUCCGCCCUUGGGUGCUCUAGCCAUGGGCUUAGAGCGAGGUUCCGUUGAGCCAUGCCUAGUAUCCAAGUAGGUAGUGCCACCCACACUUGGACUGAGAGCAUCGGCUAGUCGAUCUCCCGGGGGAACUAGAGCCGGCUCUUGAACACUUCACCA